GACGAACGCUGGCGGCGUGCUUAACACAUGCAAGUCGAACGAUGAAGCCUAGCUUGCUAGGUGGAUUAGUGGCGAACGGGUGAGUAAUACGUGAGUAACCUACCUUUAACUCUGGGAUAAGCCUGGGAAACUGGGUCUAAUACCGGAUACGACCAAUCUCCGCAUGGGGUGUUGGUGGAAAGCGUUAUGUAGUGGUUAUAGAUGGGCUCACGGCCUAUCAGCUUGUUGGUGAGGUAACGACUCACCAAGGCGACGACGGGUAGCCGGCCUGAGAGGGUGACCGGCCACACUGGGACUGAGACACGGCCCAGACUCCUACGGGAGGCAGCAGUGGGGAAUAUUGCACAAUGGGCGCAAGCCUGAUGCAGCGACGCCGCGUGAGGGAUGACGGCCUUCGGGUUGUAAACCUCUGUUAGCAGGGAAGAAGAGAGAUUGACGGUACCUGCAGAGAAAGCGCCGGCUAACUACGUGCCAGCAGCCGCGGUAAUACGUAGGGCGCGAGCGUUGUCCGGAAUUAUUGGGCGUAAAGAGCUUGUAGGCGGUUUGUCGCGUCUGCUGUGAAGGCCGGGGCUUAACCCCGUGUAUUGCAGUGGGUACGGGCAGACUAGAGUGCAGUAGGGGAGACUGGAAUUCCUGGUGUAGCGGUGGAAUGCGCAGAUAUCAGGAGGAACACCGAUGGCGAAGGCAGGUCUCUGGGCUGUAACUGACGCUGAGAAGCGAAAGCAUGGGGAGCGAACAGGAUUAGAUACCCUGGUAGUCCAUGCCGUAAACGUUGGGCACUAGGUGUGGGGGACAUUCCACGUUCUCCGCGCCGUAGCUAACGCAUUAAGUGCCCCGCCUGGGGAGUACGGCCGCAAGGCUAAAACUCAAAGAAAUUGACGGGGGCCCGCACAAGCGGCGGAGCAUGCGGAUUAAUUCGAUGCAACGCGAAGAACCUUACCAAGGCUUGACAUAUACUGGACCGCAUCAGAGAUGGUGUUUCCCUUCGGGGCUGGUAUACAGGUGGUGCAUGGUUGUCGUCAGCUCGUGUCGUGAGAUGUUGGGUUAAGUCCCGCAACGAGCGCAACCCUCGUUCUAUGUUGCCAGCACGUUAUGGUGGGGACUCAUAGGAGACUGCCGGGGUCAACUCGGAGGAAGGUGGGGAUGACGUCAAAUCAUCAUGCCCCUUAUGUCUUGGGCUUCACGCAUGCUACAAUGGCCGGUACAGAGGGUUGCGAUACUGUGAGGUGGAGCUAAUCCCUAAAAGCCGGUCUCAGUUCGGAUUGGGGUCUGCAACUCGACCCCAUGAAGUCGGAGUCGCUAGUAAUCGCAGAUCAGCAACGCUGCGGUGAAUACGUUCCCGGGCCU
Molecule: ribosomal RNA, 1347 nt
Filed under: uncultured bacterium
Lineage: Bacteria
Description: bacterial SSU rRNA
Rfam family: Bacterial small subunit ribosomal RNA
Source: RNAcentral